AUGAUGAACGCAAAGGGGAAGAGGAGAGGCACCCAAUAUAUGUUCUCUAGGCCUUUUAGAAAGCAUGGAGUUGUUCCUUUGGCCACGUAUAUGCGAAUUUGUAAGAAAGGUGAUAUUGUAGACAUCAAGGGAAUGGGUACUGUUCAAAAAGGAAUGGACCACAAGGGUUACCGUGGCAAAACUGGAAGAGUCUACAAUGUUACCCAGCAUGCUGUUGGCAUUGUUGUAAACAAACAAGGGCAAGAUUCAUGCCGAGAGAAUUAAUGUGUGCAUUGAGCGCAUUAAGCAUGCUAAGAGCUGAGAUAGCUUCCUGAAAUGUGUGAAGGAAAAUAAUCAGAAACAGAAAGAAGCCAAAGAGAAAGGUACCUGGGUUCAACUGAAGCACCAGCCUGCUCCACCCAGAGAAGCAUGCUUUGUGAGAACCAAUGGGAAGGAGGCUGAGCUGCUGGAAACUCUUCCCUAUGAAUUCAUGGCAUCA
Molecule: long non-coding RNA, 478 nt
Filed under: Homo sapiens (human)
Lineage: Eukaryota; Metazoa; Chordata; Mammalia; Primates; Hominidae
Description: non-protein coding lnc-CLEC4M-3:1
Source: RNAcentral